AUGGCCGGAGGCGGCGGCAAGCCGUUCGGGGACAACGUGUUCGCCGGCCAUGCGGCCGCGGGAGUCGCGGCGAUCAGCGCCUCCGCGGUCGCCGUCCACCCCCUCGACACCGUCAAGAGCCUCCUCCAGUUGAGCGCGGCGGGGCAGAAGCAGAAGAUGGGGCUCCGCCAUGCGGUGGACCGGCUCAUGCACGUCUCCGGUCCUGCAGGUCUUUACAGUGGCAUUGGAUGGUCAAUAUUAGGUAAACUGCCUGGUUUGGGAGCACGUUUUGGGACCUAUGAGCUUUUAACAGCCUUCUAUAAAGAUGGCAGGGAGGACAACCAUGUUAAUUAUUCUGAGGCAAUGUUGGCUGGCAUAACUGCUGGUGCUGUAGAGGCAUUUGUGUGCACACCAUUUGAACUUCUCAAACUUCGGUCCCAAGUUGGUUCUGCCAUACCUAUGAAAGCUACGAACCCUGCUAAUGUUAUACAGGAGUCGUUUCCACUGCUUUCCAAGCUAUUACCUGGUCAUGUCCCUGACAUGAGAGUGUGGAAUAGCAGUGUCAGUCUGUUGUCCAAUCUUUCCCCCAAGCAUCCUGACAUGAUGGGUGCCCUGAAACAGCACCCAUGGAUGCUGACUGGCUCUGGGAAGCCCCCGUUACCCUCUGAUGUUCAGGUGCCUUCGAGAUUGAUAGCACUUGAAGGAUGGGGUGCUUUAUGGAGAGGACUUAGGCCAGGAGUAGCCCGAGACUGUGUCUUUAGUGGAAUGUUCUUUUCUUGUUGGCAAUUCAUACAUACGGCGAUGCUUACUUGGCAGUCUGUUAACAUGAACCCUGAACCCAGGAAUUUAGAAGAAGCAGGUCCUGUACCCCCUUUAGCUUCUAGUCUGGCUGCAGGCUUCUCUGGAGUUGUAGCAGCUGCUGCUUCACAUACGUUUGAUACUGCCAAAAGUCGUUCACAGUGCACUGUGAUACCUAAGUAUAUAGCAAUGGAGAGGAGGUUUCUUAAGUGGAGAGCACCGGGAAUGUGGAUAGAGAGAAUGACAGGAACGUCACCUGCUGAUAGGAAUGUUCUGUUUCGUGGCAUUGGGUUACGGAUGGCGCGCAUUGGAAUCGCAUCUUUUGUACUUGUUGGGUCCUACUAUUUAGCCGUAGAUCAGCUCCUGUAG
RNAcentral lists this ribosomal RNA (1146 nucleotides) under Triticum aestivum (bread wheat). Its description in RNAcentral is "partial small subunit ribosomal RNA". Lineage: Eukaryota; Viridiplantae; Streptophyta; Magnoliopsida; Poales; Poaceae. The record is from RNAcentral.